GAAAUGCGAUACUUGGUGUGAAUUGCAGAAUCCCGUGAUAAAAUGGUGGAUGAGCCACGCUCGAGACCAAUCACGUGCGAGCCGGUCAGUUCUGGACCCAUCGACGACCCUUUGCGUGCACGCACGCUCCCAACGAGACCUCAGGUCAGGCGGGGCUACCCGCUGAGUUUAA
This 172-nucleotide unclassified non-coding RNA is filed under the name uncultured fungus. RNAcentral describes it as "sequence contains ITS1". Lineage: Eukaryota; Fungi. The record is from RNAcentral.